GAUGAACGCUAGCUACAGGCUUAACACGUGCAAGUCGAGGGGAAACGACAUCGAAAGCUUGCUUUUGAUGGGCGUCGACCGGCGCACGGGUGAGUAACGCGUAUCCAACCUGCCCAUCACUUGGGAAUAACCUUGCGAAAGUAAGACUAAUACCCAAUGAUAUCCCACGAAGGCAUCGGAAUGGGAUUAAAGAUUUAUCGGUGAUGGAUGGGGAUGCGUCUGAUUAGCUUGUUGGCGGGGUAACGGCCCACCAAGGCAACGAUCAGUAGGGGUUCUGAGAGGAAGGUCCCCCACAUUGGAACUGAGACACGGUCCAAACUCCUACGGGAGGCAGCAGUGAGGAAUAUUGGUCAAUGGGCGAGAGCCUGAACCAGCCAAGUAGCGUGCAGGAAGACGGCCCUAUGGGUUGUAAACUGCUUUUAUAAGGGAAUAAAGUGGGUCACGUGUGACUUUUUGCAUGUACCUUAUGAAUAAGGACCGGCUAAUUCCGUG
RNAcentral lists this ribosomal RNA (492 nucleotides) under uncultured bacterium. RNAcentral describes it as "partial 16S ribosomal RNA". It matches the Rfam family "Bacterial small subunit ribosomal RNA", at positions 28 to 507 of the family's 1533-position model. The record is from RNAcentral.